This 75-nucleotide transfer RNA is filed under the name Candidatus Woesearchaeota archaeon. RNAcentral's name for it is "tRNA-Sec". It matches the Rfam family "tRNA". From Rfam's summary of the family: Transfer RNA (tRNA) molecules are approximately 80 nucleotides in length. Their secondary structure includes four short double-helical elements and three loops (D, anti-codon, and T loops). Further hydrogen bonds mediate the characteristic L-shaped molecular structure. tRNAs have two regions of fundamental functional importance: the anti-codon, which is responsible for specific mRNA codon recognition, and the 3' end, to which the tRNAs corresponding amino acid is attached (by aminoacyl-tRNA synthetases). tRNAs cope with the degeneracy of the genetic code in two manners: having more than one tRNA (with a specific anti-codon) for a particular amino acid; and 'wobble' base-pairing, i.e. permitting non-standard base-pairing at the 3rd anti-codon position. The record is from RNAcentral. Lineage: Archaea; Nanobdellati; Candidatus Woesearchaeota.
GCGCCGGUAGCUCAGCUUGGAUAGAGCGUCUGAAUUCAUAGCAGAAGGUCGGGAGUUCGAAUCUCCCCCGGCGCG